This 382-nucleotide ribosomal RNA is filed under the name uncultured Actinomycetes bacterium. RNAcentral describes it as "bacterial SSU rRNA". It matches the Rfam family "Bacterial small subunit ribosomal RNA", at positions 975 to 1352 of the family's 1533-position model. The record is from RNAcentral. Lineage: Bacteria; Bacillati; Actinomycetota; Actinomycetes.
CAAGGCUUGACAUACACCGGAAACGUCCAGAGAUGGGCGCCCCCUUGUGGUCGGUGUACAGGUGGUGCAUGGCUGUCGUCAGCUCGUGUCGUGAGAUGUUGGGUUAAGUCCCGCAACGAGCGCAACCCUUGUCCCGUGUUGCCAGCAGGCCCUUGUGGUGCUGGGGACUCACGGGAGACCGCCGGGGUCAACUCGGAGGAAGGUGGGGACGACGUCAAGUCAUCAUGCCCCUUAUGUCUUGGGCUGCACACGUGCUACAAUGGCCGGUACAAUGAGCUGCGAUACCGCGAGGUGGAGCGAAUCUCAAAAAGCCGGUCUCAGUUCGGAUUGGGGUCUGCAACUCGACCCCAUGAAGUCGGAGUCGCUAGUAAUCGCAGAUCAG